RNAcentral lists this ribosomal RNA (852 nucleotides) under uncultured bacterium. Its description in RNAcentral is "bacterial SSU rRNA". It matches the Rfam family "Bacterial small subunit ribosomal RNA", at positions 58 to 916 of the family's 1533-position model. The record is from RNAcentral.
CAAGUCGAACGAGGUCCAACUGAUGGCAACAUCAGGGACGACCUAGUGGCGAACGGGUGCGUAACACGUGAGAAACCUGCCCCGAUCUCUGGGAUAACAGUUGGAAACGACUGCUAAUACCGGAUGCCGUCGCAGCAUCGCAUGGUGCAGUGACGAAAGGGUUACCGGAUCGGGAGGGUCUCGCGGCCUAUCAGCUAGUUGGUGGGGUAAAGGCCUACCAAGGCAUCGACGGGUAGCUGGUCUGAGAGGAUGAUCAGCCACACUGGGACUGAGACACGGCCCAGACUCCUACGGGAGGCAGCAGUGGGGAAUCUUGCGCAAUGGGCGAAAGCCUGACGCAGCAACGCCGCGUGGGGGAAGAAGGCUCUCGGGUUGUAAACCCCUUUCAGUAGGAACGAAAAUGACGGUACCUGCAGAAGAAGGUGCGGCCAACUACGUGCCAGCAGCCGCGGUGACACGUAGGCACCAAGCGUUGUCCGGAUUUAUUGGGCGUAAAGAGCUCGUAGGCGGUUUGGUAAGUCGGGUGUGAAAACUCUGGGCUCAACCCAGAGACGCCACUCGAUACUGCCAUGACUUGAGUUCGGUAGGGGAGCGGGGAAUUCCUGGUGUAGCGGUGAAAUGCGCAGAUAUCAGGAGGAACACCGGUGGCGAAGGCGCCGCUCUGGGCCGAAACUGACGCUGAGGAGCGAAAGCGUGGGUAGCAAACAGGAUUAGAUACCCUGGUAGUCCACGCCGUAAACGUUGGGCACUAGGUGUGGGCUCUAACCAACGGAGUCCGUGCCGUCGCUAACGCAUUAAGUGCCCCGCCUGGGGAGUACGGGCCGCAAGGUUAAAACUCAAAGGAAUUGACGG